AAAAAAAAACUUAACAAUUCAAUAACUUAAAUGAAAACUUUCAAAUAAUUUAAUGACUAUAUUGUAAAAUUAUGAAAUUAAGUAACCAAAAUAUAAAAUUACAAUAAUUCAAUACCCUUUAAUUUAAUUUAAUUAAAAAUUAUAUUUUUAAAAAUAUAAAAAUUUCAAUGCAAAACUGGAAAGCAAUUGGAAUAGAUGAAUACUAUCAUAAAAAUUUUAAUUUAAUUUUGAUGUGACUAAUCAAUUUAAAAAUUUAAAAUUAUGAAGAAAUUAGGUAUUUAAUUUUUUAUGUAACGAUAAGAUUAAUUAUAUUUUUUUCCUCUCAAAACAACAGAAAAGCAAUUAAAAAAUUAGGUGACGUCAGAUCCCUCGUGCGGCCAAACCCUAAACCUUCCCACUUUUUUUUUCUUCCUACCUAACCGAAUAAAAUUUAAAAAGAAAAAAAAAUUCUAUUUUUCUUGCUCUCUUCAUCAAUUUAGAACAUAAUUUAUUUUCCUCCUUUAUUUUCCUUUUUUCUUUUCCAUUGCUUUGAAUAAAUUUGCUGUGAUCUUUGAAAAUCAUGGCUUACGCAUCUCGUAUCAUCAAUCACUCUAAAAAGGUACCCAAUUCACGAUUCGUUACUUGUAUGUAUGGAUAAUGGAUGUAUGUAUGGAUGACUUUGAGUCAGUCCUAGAUUCAAAUUCGUUUAUAGAUCAUGGUCGAAUUGUAGCUUUUUAUUUAUGUUUUUUUUUAGCUUUGUUAUUUGUUCUGAAUUUCUGUUAUUACAGUUAAGGAAUGUUCCUAACUUAUUGCGGCAAGAUCAUGCUGUUUUGGUUCGUUGCUUUUCCAAUGGAGCACAAUCCUCUGUUUGUAAAAUUGAAGGUACAUAAUGCUAUCCAGAUAGUUUUCUUACUUGUUUCUCAUGUAUGUUAGGGUGGAAAACUUAAAGAAUUGAACAUAUGAAUGUUGGGCUUGUACCUGUAUCUGAUACUCACACUUGAGUCCGAGUAGCAUAAAUAUCAAGCUUUCUACAAUCAUUAAGCAUAAGAGCUAUUUUGUGUUUUAUUCAGCUAAGUAGACAAUCAAAAGCCUCCCAGUUAGAUGGUUUUAUUGAAGGUUUUAUCAUAUCUUGUAAGGUUUGCUUAUAUUUCUUGCUAGGUUCACUCGUACCAACCGGCUGGUUUACUAAUUUUUACUUUUUAACUUGUAAUUGUAUUUAGUGAGAGGUAAUAAUUUGUCAGUUUUCUGAAAGCAUAAUGGAGUCGAUAAAAUUUUGGUUAUGCAGCUGCAGAAAGAGAGAGGGUAUCCAAGUUUGUUGCAUGUAACCAUGUAAGUGCCUCCUCUUUUUAUCAUGGGUGGAGCAAUAAUUAGUGUAGCAUUUUUGUUUCAUAAUUUUCCUUUUUCUUUGCUGCAGACUAUGCUCUGCUUGUGUAUUACAUUCUUGAUUGAAUUCAAGACUUGGUUUGCCAAUACUAGCUGUUCCACAUCUUGUUAUGCAGGUAUCAUCUGGUUUACCUAGGAACAAUUGUUCUAGGGCAAUAAUGAGAUUGGGAAUUCCAACAGUUGGUGUGGCAUACAGCAGAGAGCUCACAUGGUAUUCAUUCCAGCAUUUUUUGUGAUCUUAUUGGAAAAUUUUACUAUUUCCUAGUAAUGGCUUUUUAAUCAUUUCAAGCAUCUAAACAUUUUCCCUCUAUCCAUUAUCAGUUCUCAGGUACAGUCAAGGAGAGGAUUUGCAUCAGAUGCAGGUAUAGAUUAUUGCUUUAAAUGUCAUAGGUUGUACUGGUAUCUUCUACUUUGUAUUCUCUGAAGGAGCCUAUUUUUUAAAUUGUGAAAAGAUGUGCACUGACUAGUGAUUACAACAAGAAUGUGUGUUUAACUUAUGAACCUACUAACUUCAUGCCAAAUGCUAAUUUGUGACUUAAUUGAUGAGCUGUAAUAUUAUAUUAUUCUUAAUUCCUUCUGUGGCUUGUUCAAUACCCUUCUUUAUGGGACAGCUCAGAUGAUAGGAAUGUAGUUUAUGGGUAAUAAAUUUGUGUAAUAUGAAGCUUGUUUAUCUGGUUUCUGAAUAAUAAGUAAUGUGACUGCACUAUAUUUAAGAAGCAAGGCAUUAUUACUAUAGUUCAUUCUUCUUCUCUCUUUUACAAGGCAUUGCUAUAGAACCUUUCUUUAUUACUAUUUUUGUUGUUCUAGUUUUAUCACUUAGGUUAUGCUGGAUUGAUGUAGCAUAUUUAGAUUUUUCAAGUUGUUUUCACCAGUAUAUAGGUUUGUUAUAUUUAUGGCUGAGAACAUGGCAGUUGAAAUGAUGUUUAAAAGUGUUUUAAGUUGAACCCUGUGCAUCGGUUCAAGGGUUUUACAUUGUUUAUUAACUGUUUCAUCAUUUUUUGUUGCAUGACAUACUCAAUAUUGCUAAUAUUAUAAAGUUUCAAGCCUCCCUCCUCACCAAGAGAUCGGAAUGCCUUCACUCUCUCCCACAAUGACAGAGGUGUGAACUGUUCUAGAUCUUUGCAAAAUAUCAUAAAAUAUUUUGUGGUUUUCUUUUAAGUUUUCCAUUUAUGCAGGGAAAUAUUGCUAGAUGGUUGAAGAAAGAGGGUGAUAAAGUGAAUCCUGGCGAAGUGCUGUGCGAAGUUGAAACUGUAAGGUUUUCUCCUGUCCAGAUAAAAUUUCUUCAUUUACUUUGCUCUUAUCAGAAGCCAGUAUUUUAUUUUACAACUUUGUUUAUUGUUUGAAGGAUAAAGCAACCGUUGAGAUGGAAUGCAUGGAAGAAGGUUACCUUGCCAAGAUUAUAAAGGGAGAUGGAUCAAAAGAAAUCAAAGUUGGUGAGGUAAUGAUUUUGUGGCAGUCAUGUGCACAUAUUUAUCUUUCUUUGGUCCUCCCUUUUGUGGAUAGGGGAGUUUGUAUGACUAGUAAAUAAAGAAGCAGCAUCUUGGCUUUGUAUUAGAUCUUCUGUCUGUUGCUCUUUUGCUACCAGAAUCAAAUACAAUUUAUGUCAAUAUUUGUGCAGUUAAUAUUAUUUAUUUGUUCUUGUGUAGAUAAUUGCCAUCACCGUUGAAGAGGAGGAGGAUAUUGCAAAGUUCAAGGACUAUAGUCCUUCAACAUCAGAUUCUGGUGCUCCUGCAGCAAAGGAGCCAGCAGCUCCUCCACCUAAGCAGGAGCCUGUUCAACAACCAGUUAGUUCACCAGAGGCUAAGUCCAAGCCCUGUUCACCUCCUUCGGAAGAUCGUCUUUUUGCAAGUCCACUUGCAAGAAAAAUGGCUGAAGAUCACAAGGUCAGUUAUAUUAUAUAUGAGUGCCGUAACUGGGAUUUUCUUGUUGAGAGAAAAGUCGUUACUAUAAGGAUAGAUUAUAGAAUCAUUUAUAUCAAUCUCUUUUAACAUUUCUCCACUCCUUUGGAUAAAAAUAUAGGUACCUCUCUCUAGUAUCAAAGGAACAGGUCCUGAUGGGCGCAUUGUGAAGGCUGAUAUUGAAGAUUACUUAGGUAUCAUAUUUAAAUUUCUGCAGCAUAACCAAUGCUGUUGCAAAUUUUGACCCUGAUGAGUAAUGCUAUAUAGUAAAGAAUGGCUCUUCCCCCCUCCAACAAAUCCUUUUGCCUUUUCAGUAUCUUCAAUAGUAUUGGUUUCUGUAUUACUGUCACUGCUUGUGAUUACUGGGGUGUUUUCACUUUAUUGUAGCUUCACGUGGGAAGGAUGUUUCAGCACCAACACCUAAGACAAAGGAUGGAAAACUUGAAGCUCUAGAUUAUGUAGAUAUCCCUCAUUCUCAGAUAAGAAAGGUUAGUUAAAAAUUGUCAUUAUUUUUAUAAUUUUAAUGAAAGUUCGAAGUUGUUAAGCAUUUAUGGUACAUGGGCUUUAUUCUAUGCAUCUACUUCUUAGUAGAUGGUCCCCUUUGUAGAAUUUAUGCAUUUGAUUUUGUUUUUGUGAUAAUCUGCAUUAAAUUUGAAAGGUAACCGUGCUACACGGCGGGAUUUAGAAGAUGUAAUUAAUUUUUUUCUCAAUUACUGUUCUGUUAUGAUGGUAUUUAUUUGAUUUAUGUGACGCGUUUGAUAAAUGUGUAUUUUCUGAACUUCAAUUAGUAAGGAAAAGAAAUAGGUAUAGCAAUAACAUUUUUUUUAUCUCAGCAAUGUUUGAGGAACAAUUUUCCUAUUUUUAAUUUUUAAAAUACAAAUUAGUUGAGUUUUUGCUUCAACAAGAAGCAUAUGACUUUCCAAUAAGUUUGUUAUUAUUAUUUUUUUGUAAGCUUUAGUAGAGUGUUGUAAUUUUUUUUUUUAAUUUGAAGAAUGAUUUGAAUUUUUUUCUAAAUACAAUCCUCCCAGCCUAACCCCCAAGUACACCAAGGUCAGAUAGGCAUCAUCUACUUACAGAUUGGUUUUUCAAAUUUUUUGAAAUCUCACAAUACCCUUAGUAAUUCUCAAAAUACCUUUUCUUGAUCUUUCUGAAGAUCAUCUCUGUGCGAAUAGUUUGACAUUUGUAGGUUACUUUAAUGAUAUACAUUAGAAAAAUCAACAUGUAGUGUUAAAUUUUUGAAAAGUUUAAGGUAAAUAAAUCUGUAGAAAACGUACCCAAAACAUGGUCCCAUGAGAAUUCCAGUCUCACUGGUUCCAAUGAAUUGGGUAGAAGCACCCUCCAAUCAUAGGCCUAAGGCAAGAGUGUGUCAAAAAGGAUUGGCAACUUUAAAUAGCACAAAAUGAGUGGGUAUUGAUAUAUAGAGGUUACAUAUUUUAUUAUUAUUUUGCCUAUCAUUUAUCACUGCUGUUUUUUCUACCCUAAUCUCACAAAACUAAAAGCUGGAAACCCUUCUAAAAUAACCAUCCUUGUGGCACUCUUAAAUACCCUAAAAUUGCCUGAGUCAGAAAUCAACUUAUUAUUAAAUAGCAAAGUUCCAAAUUUGACCAUUUUUGCAUGAGAAUACAGAGAAGUCGGUAUCUUUUAACUUCUUUGUUGUCUCCUCAUUUCAAUGUCAAUUACUUUGUUUCUUUUAUAAUAAUGUGCUUUGUGAGUCUAAUUUCUGCUAUCAUUUUUGACAGGUCACUGCAUCAGGCUUAUUAAUCUCAAAGCAGACCAUCCCACAUUACUAUUUAACAGUGGAUACAUGUGUUGACAAACUUCUGGAGUAAGUAAUAUUGCUUUGAUCUGUAAAAGUAUCAUGGACGUCCUUGUACUAAGAGUCAGAUUGCAUUUUUCCUCCUCUAAUAAAAAACCUGACUAAUUUGCUCUUUGCUCUUUGAUUUAACUUAUAGGGACUAAUUUGCCCAUUUUUUGAGUAGGGGAGGCAAAAUGCAAUCUGACUUCAAGAUACUUUUACCUGCUUUGAUCUUUUAAAUGGUAUGCAAUUAUAUGAUAUAUCUGAUAAUUUUGAAUUGUUUCUUUGCAUGCAGUUUGCGAAGCCAACUCAACUCAUUACAGGAAGCUUCAGGCGGGAAGCGUAUUUCUGUCAAUGAUCUUGUAAUCAAGGUAAACAACUUUCCUUCUGUUUUUUUUUUUCUUUUGUUUUUCCCUUGAAGUUCAAGGUUGACAACUUUCAAUACGUUUAAUUGUCGAGCUUUGAGAUGUUUGAAGUGGUUCCUCAUUUGUUGCUUUUGAUGUGGUCCAAGGUUUUUCCUAUAGGUUUUUGUGAAAUGGCAAGUGGUUAUUAUAAUGUUGAUUUCACAUGGCAAUUCUUGAUCAAGUUCAUGCCUUGUUACAUGUAUUUGCUUUUUCGUCCAUAUUAACCUUCAAUCAUUACAUGAAAUUACAUAACCAUUUCUCAAAUCAUUGUUUUCUUUUGGAAAUAUUUAAUUCAAAUGUAGUCUGAAAUGAAUGCUUUCACGUAAAUGGUAAUAUACUGCUUCUGCAGAGAAGAAAUUAGUGCAUAUUUGAUUUUUCCUAACUAAACCGCCAUUAGAAUAUUGCAAUUUUCAUUUAAGAUACUUAGAAGUCUUUUUUGACUGCAGGCUGCUGCAUUGGCUCUCCGGAAGGUUCCUCAGUGCAAUAGUUCAUGGACAGAUGACUAUAUUCGCCAGUGAGUAUAUAUUUACUGACAAACCGAUCAAUUCACUAGUGAUAAACCGAUAAUGCAUAUCAUUAUGACUCAUCUUCUUCUGCUUCUAACCCAGGUAUAACAAUGUCAAUAUUAAUGUAUCAGUGCAGACAGAAAAUGGACUUUAUGUCCCUGUGAUCAGGGUGCGCAAUCAUUUCAACUUAUUGCUGUUUUCCUCAUUCUGUCCGUACUUUUCUAGUUUAACUGAUCCCUUUAUUUUACGUAUUGCAGAAUGCAGAUAAGAAAGGAUUGUCCUCAAUUUCUUUGGAGGUCAAGCAGUUGGCACAAAAAGCCAAAGAAAAUAGCCUAAAACCCGAAGAUUAUGAGGUAAAUAAUUAUGGAUAGGAUAGUAUGAUAGUGUCAUUGGAUCUAUAUGGAUUAUAUACAUGUCGGGUUUUGUCUCUUUGCAGGGCGGUACGUUUACAGUUUCUAACUUGGGAGGGCCCUUUGGUAUCAAGCAAUUUUGUGCCAUAAUUAAUCCUCCUCAAUCAGGAAUCCUCGCUGUCGGGUCUGGUAAGAUUUUCCCUUAAAUUUUCCCAACUCAAGUCAUAUUCACUCCUCCUUCGUAAUCACUGGAAUUCACUGUGUACAGCUGAGAAAAGGGUUAUCCCUAGCUCCGGUCCCGAGCAGUUCCAGUUUGCAUCGUUCAUGUCCGUAACACUAAGCUGUGAUCAUCGUGUCAUCGACGGUACAUAGUUCUAGACUUCCAGUAAUAAAUGAUUAAGCCAAGUUAAACAUCGAACAUCAUCUCAGUGUCCUUUAGGCACACAAAUCUAAUUAACUCGACUUACUGUUCUCUUAGGUGCAAUUGGUGCUGAAUGGCUUAAAGCUUUCAAAGGCUACAUUGAGAAUCCGGAAUCAAUGUUGCUCUAAAUCAACCGGUGAUUCUGGCUUUUCUUUUUGGUUUUAGACACAUUUCCCUGCUAUGAUUAUUUUCACAAUGGGGCGUUGAGUGCAUUACACAUAUUCCGAAUCGAUUUUUGUCACACCGAAUUAAUAUUUUUCGGGAAUAAGGAAGAAGGAUCGAUAGACAAUCGAGGAACUGGAGUUCACCUCACAUAGAAUGUAAUAACCCCCAUUUCACAUAGGUCCCUUAUACUGUGAAUAAAACUUGGAAAUGAUUUUUCGGGUAUAGGCAAUUGCUAAACCCAUCACAUUUUCAUUGCUUUUUCUUAACUAUAAUCAGAAUGCUUCCACUUUGUUAUGAUUUAGCAUCAUUAUUCUUUUCUUUGUUUGAAUCAACAACUCCUAAGACCGAGAAAUUAAAUCUAGAAAAUCGUAUACUUAUUCGAACAGUAGUUUAGAUAUGUAAUAUUUUUCCAAUAAUAAACAAAACUCUCAAAAUUUCGUGUUACUACAAAUAUAUUUCUCUCAUUAUAAUACUUACUAUAAAUUUUGUAAUGGAUUAUGCAACAAAAAUUACAAUAUAUUACUCGAUUGUAUCAUUUAUUAUUGCCUGCAUAAUAUUUUGUGUAAAGUAGUGUUAUUACAAAAAAUUUCACCUUAAAUAUUACCUAAAUACACAAAUUAUUACGUCUCACCCUGAUGUAUGCUACACGAAAAUACACAUUCUAUUUUAAUAUUUUUCAUAACAUAAAAUUACAUUUUCACCCUUAUUUUGAUAAGUAUUAGUUCAAAUAGUUUAAUUAUGUCUUAACUAAAGUUCAAGUUUAAAAAUUAAUUCUCGAUUAAAUUCAAAUCGUGUAUUAAAUCUCAAAUUUUAAGUCAAAUUCAAGUUUAUAAUUACUCAAGUGUAGCUUGGUUAUAUAUAUUUAUAUGCUAUUAAAUUUUGAAUUGGUAUUUGGUACUUUAGUAGUAUUUUUUGUUAUAAGUAGCCUUGAAAAAUUGACAUUUAUCUCUUUUUUAAUAUUUUACAAUAAUCUAUAGGACACUUCUCAAUUUCCUCUACACAAGCAUAGCUAGGAUAUUGACAAGUAUUUUAUAUGAUUAUAGUAAAAUAUUAAAAAAUAAAUAUUUAAAAACACAAAUAGUAAUUUUUAAAUUACUUAUAAAAUAAAAAAAUACAUUAAUAAUGUAUCAAAUAGUAAUUUUAUAAAAUUUAAUAAUUACCAUGAACAAUAAAGCUAGUUUUUUUCAACCGGUUGGACCAAAACUUAGGUAAGAGAAAGUGAAAGGCUGGGCUUGAUCCGGCUGAUGAAACAUUUUAGUCAUAAAAGUCAACAAGUUUUCCUAAGCAUGUGCUGGGACACACGCAAUACUUUCAAUGGAUAUGGACUACACGUCAUCAACACAGUCACCCUCACGGAAACCGGUUUAAAUCCUCUGCAUCACCGCCUACGUUAUACAAAAUACAAAUAAUCCAAACAUUGGAAUUAACAAAGUGAAAUUAAAUAAAGAGAAAAAUCACUAUUUGAAUUUAAUUUGGCUACAACUUUUAUGUUAGAAUUUGAAGUUUUUUUUUCUAAAUUAGUCAUUAUUUUCAUAUAGAAGCUUAAAUUAAGUAAAUGUUUUUAUAUUGUUGAAUUUUUUUUUUAAAUUAGUCCUUGAACUUGACAAUAUUACCAAGUUGAAUCACCAGAGCUUUCUUUAAUAAAGUGUUAAAAAUUUAAUAUUUUCAAUAAUUUAGACACAUUUGAUAGCCCACAGUGAAAAUUAAAAACUACUGUUUUCUAUUAUAAAUAGUAGAAAAUGAUAAGUAGAUAGGCACUAUUCUGUAUUAAAUUUUAAACAAUUUACCCAACAAAGUUUAUAAUUUAAAUUUAACACUUAUUUUUCAAUUUAUUAAACAUAGCUUAACAACGGUUAAGUUUAGAGACUAAAUUAGAAAGAAAAAAAAUUUAGAUCCUAAUAUGACAAUAAUUACUAAAUUCAAACUAAAAAAAUUUAAAUAAAAAUCUAAUCAAAUCGACCUCUCGAAUCUCGAGACAUAAACAACUCUAGUGCAAAUUCACAAACCUACUAAGUUAUCAAUGGGUGAAAUUUGAUUCAUCUUAGAGAACCAACCGCAGAGAAUUAAAAAGCUUUAAAAUAAUGAUAUAUACACAUACAUAUACCUAAUCUAUAACCGACACUUGUCAGUUUCCCCUUCUUUUACUGUACAACAAAUUCUCUUCCUUCCUCAAAUCUUUCACCGUUAAUUUCCGGUCACCCACUUCUUUAAAUAACCCUAUUUUUUCCCUUCAGUUUUUCUAUUCUAUAUUUUUAAACUUCAUUUGUCACUAUUUUGCUCUCACUCUUGCGAGAUCCGAACUCACCGGAGUUCCGUCGCCGGCGGGGACGACGAUGGUCGAGUCUCCCGUUAGCUGAUUAAUAGAAAUCGUAUAUGUUCUAAAUUCGAUCGAUUAAUCAAUCUCUUUUUCUUUUAUCCCCGAAAGGAAAUGAUAGAUCCCUGUGCUGUAAUUAACGUUCGAUCCAAAACCUGGUUUCGCAAGAGAAAAAAAUCCCGUUCAUAAUUUUCAUUGUGACGGUGGUGUUGGGCUUUUCUCUAUUUGUAUAGUUUCAAUGUUAAUUUCUUGAUUUUUUUUUUGUAUAUAUUUCCGAUCAUACAUAUAUAGGUAGAUAUAUUGCUUCUUCUUUUUAAAAUUUUUUUGGGUAUUUUUAGGGUUAGGGUUUUUUCGAGUCUUUGAAAGUGGCAAAGAUGAAUAUAAGUGCGGCCGAGGAAGAUUCGGCGCAAGAGAUUCAUAUUCCGGCUGAUAUAAAUUGGGAAAUGCUUGAUAAAUCCAAGUUUUUCUUCUUAGGUGCGGCGUUAUUUUCCGGCGUAUCGGCGACCCUUUAUCCCGUAGUUUUAGUCAAAACACGGCAGCAGGUUGCUCAAGUAAAACUUUCCGGCAUCAGAACGGCGUUUUCCAUCGUUAAACAUGGCGGUUUCCAGGGAUUAUACCGAGGUUUCGGCACUUCAUUAAUGGGAACAAUCCCAGCUCGAGCACUUUACAUGGCUGCCCUUGAAGUAACCAAAAGUAAUGUAGGGAGCACCACUGUUAAAUUAGGGUUUCCUGAACCAACGGCAGCGGCGAUAGCUAAUGCGGUCGCCGGAUUAACCGCCGCGAUGGUGGCUCAACUUGUUUGGACCCCAAUUGAUGUGGUUAGCCAAAGGCUAAUGGUUCAAAGUAGCCCAUCACAAUGUAGAUAUGUAAAUGGGAUUGAUGCCUUUAGGAAAAUAGUGAACUCACAUGGUCCAAAGGGAUUAUAUAGAGGCUUCGGUAUAUCAAUUUUAACAUAUGCACCAUCAAAUGCAGUAUGGUGGGCAUCUUACUCAGUUGCUCAAAGACUUGUUUGGGGAGGCAUUGGAUGUUACUUAAAAGGCGGCAGGGAUGAAACAAUUCGGCCUGAUUCAAAGACGGUAAUGGCGGUUCAAGGAGCGAGUGCGGCAAUGGCAGGUGGGAUAUCGGCAUUGAUCACAAUGCCGCUCGAUACUAUCAAGACCCGGUUACAGGUCUUAGACGGAGAAGAGAACCGGCUGCGCGGACCGACAAUCGGGCAAACCGUGAGGAAUUUGGUUAAAGAAGGAGGAUGGCUUGCUUGUUAUAGAGGAUUGGGACCAAGGUGGGCUUCAAUGUCAAUAUCUGCAACAACAAUGAUCACUACUUAUGAGUUUUUGAAACGAUUAUCAGCUAAGAACCAAGAGGGCUUGUUGUAAAUGAAGAUCAAUAGGCUAUGUUACUCAAAUACGGGUAAAUAUUCAAUACAGAAAAUGAAGAGUUUGAGCAAUAUAUAACCAAAAAAAAAAAAAUGGAAAAACAUGUUUUUUUUUUUUUGCUUUGGGUUCUUUGAUUUUUGUCUAAAUUAUGCUUUGAUAUAUAUAUAUAACUUUAAGUCUAGCCUUGGUUUUGGUUGGUGAAUGUAAAUGUGGUUGCAGGUUUAAAUAUAAAAUAUACUUCCUCUACACUAGUUACCCUUUGGAUGAACUUAUGGUUUAUGAAGGAUUUUAAGAAAUUGUGAAAUUUUUUUUAUGUUAUUUAGAUUCAUAUGUUAAUAUUUUUUUUUAAAUAUAGGUUUAUUAUAAUAUCAUUUGUUUAAUUAUACGGAUAGUAAGCGAAUUCUUUUUAUUAAUUUAAGUUCGAUUUAAAAAUUAUAUAAAUCGAUAAUGACGAUAGGAAUGAUCGUAAAUUAAUAAAAAAAAUAAGAACAUGUUGAUUUUACAUAGAAAAUAUCACAGAUAAAAAGAGAAAUUUACUAAUAUUGAAAAAUGAUAAUAUGCAUAGUUUUUAAGGUUAAUCAACUCAUCUAAUAGAAGUAGUUCGGCCCUUAGACAUUCGUCCCCAUAAAUUAGAGAUGAUCAUGGGUUAAGUUAGGUCCAAACAAAAUUUUAAGCCCAUUUAUUAGUUUUGGGCCUAAUUUGGCCCAAAAAUUUGUCCAAGCCUGAUGGGAAUAAAAAUGUUAAAAUUAGGGCUCGACCUGGCCUGCUCAUAUUAUUAAAAAAAUAUAUUAUAUAUAUUUUUACAUAAUUUUUAAAUAUAUAUAAUAAUAAUAAAUACUAAAAAUAUUAAAAUAAAUAUUUCCGCACAAGUUGAAAAUAAAUUUUAAAAAUAUGUAUACUUAAAUAAUACAAUUAUAGAUGCAACUUAACAAAAAAAUGUCUCUAAAAUAAUAACAAAAUUAACAAUAAAACAAAUGUUAUAGUGUUAUACGAUAUUCAAACAAUAAUAACAAAAUUGUAGUAAUAUAAUAGUGAAAUGGUAGCAAAAUAGAAAAAAAAAAAGAAAAAGAAAAUACCAUUAAAAUGACAAAAAAAUACAAUUUUUUUUGUCAUUUAGUGAAUUCGAGUCAAGUUAGACUUGGGCCAAAAAUGUCUUACCUGAAGCUCGACCCAUUUUAAAAUAGACCUUAUUUUUUCCCAAAACCCAUUUUUCGGGCUAAUAUUUUUGCCCAAAGCCUCCCACUUUCAGGCGGGCAUUUCGGUCGAGCACAAAUAUCUAAUUUUGUCUUUCUAUUUUAUUUCUUUAACAAAUAAAUUAACCUGGUUAAACAAGAUUCGGAUCACAUAACUCUAAUAAUAUAUAUAUAUAUAAUCUAAAUUUCAAAGUUUUGACAAAAUACUAUAAUUAUUGGAACGAAAACUUCUCAGUAAUAGGAAUGACCGAAGAGAAAGUAGAUAAGUUGUCACUAAGCUAAUAGUUGGCAAAUUCUCGUGUUAACAUUAGAUAUCUAUAUUAUUUAAUAAUUUGAUUCAGUGCCAAUGGCUUAAAUUUAACUGUAAAAUUAUCAAAAAUUCAUUAUUUAAUUUUAAAAAACUGUACAUCUAAUAAAAUUUAAACUUAAAAUAUAAUUGCCUUUACCAUGUCAACUUCAUCGUUUCAACCUAAUCGGUAUAUGAUUAUCAUAUCAAACUUUUAUAAUAUAUUGCAUAAUUUUUUUUUCAAUUAGGUAAAUCAUAAUUUAUUAAAUAUAUAUUUAAAGAAAAUGCUUUUAUUUUUAAAAUUUUUAUACGUUCAAAGAAGUUUUGAAAGAAUAUGUUUACGAGACUAAGUUUGCUCAAUUGAUUUCAAAACUUUCAUGUAUUUAACAAGUAUCUUAUAAAUAAAUUAUAUUUGGAAGGAUAUGAGAAAUAAGAAUUUGCAGAAUCAUUUUAUUUUUCACUAAUUAGUUAUUUGUUUUAGAAAAGAAUAUAUAUUAUUCAAAUUCAAGAGUUAGUACUCACACACAAACCAUAAGGAUAUACUCACGUUACAUAUAUUACAUUCAAAAGAAAGCUAUUGAAAUAAAGUACUACAUGCGGGAUGAACAACUUAUAAUCACGAGACCAAAUAAAAAUUUUAAAAUCGAAUUCUAUAAUGACUAUUUCUAUUACAAUUAUCUUAUUUUUUUAAUCAAAACUUCAACUCCACUAAUCCAUCAUUAUCAGGUUUAUAGUUCACAGAAUAUAACAUUACACUUUAUAAUAAAAUUAUUGAAAUAUAAAAUCAUUUAACAUAUUUAUUAGGUAUACAAAUUUUGUUUGUUUCAUUGUCAAGAUAUAAAAUAAUUUAAAAGCAAAUUUUAUAAAAUAAUUUGUUUUUUAAAUUAUGAUUAUUGUUUAAUAAGCAAAAGUUAGGCUUAUUGUCUUUUAUUUCACAGUUGUGGUCCUUUAGUAAAUCAAUUUCAUAUAUUUUUUUCAGAUAAAUAAAAUAAAAUUGUGAAAAACAGUAAGCAAGUAAAAGUCUCCUUUUGUCAAAGUGACAAAAACAAGAGUAAAUUUGUUAUAAAAGUUGCAUGUCAACCAAAAUGGAAACUAAUAUAACAUUAUUAUCUACUAAUUUCUAUAUUAUACGUUAACCCACUAAUCUAAUACCCAAUUAUUUUACGAAAUAAUAAUAUAUUAUGUGAGUUUUUAUCUAUUUAUUUUUAUAUAAAUUUUUUUAAAAAUAUAUAUAUACUUAAUGAAAUUUGAAUUCAACUAAUACUUUAUUUAAUUUUUUUUAUUUUUUUAUAAAUAUAUUUGUUAAAUGAAAAUUAUUUCCAUAGUAACUUAAAUCUAGUAAAAAUAAAGAUAUUGCUAUUUUUUUUUAAUUGAUAUAAAACACUCAACCACAGAUAUAAAUUCCAUUUUUCACAAACUCAAUAACAUUACCAAUAACCAAUCAAACACAUAAAUCUUUUUUUUUAAUUAAAUAUUAAUUAUAUCUCGAAACUGACAUCCAAAUUCAAAUAUCAAACAAAUUCAUCAUCAUCCUUGAAGGUUAUUUAGCAAAGAAUGGGGCAAUUCAAUCAUCAAUGAAUGAAAAAAAGGACAAUAAUAUAAUAAUAUAAACACAAUACUAUCUUUGAACCACAAAUUGAUCCAAAACUAUCAAAAUAUUAAAAACAAACAAUCAGAGAGAGAAGUUCAGGUUAGUUGAGAAAAGCUAGAAAUUCAAAGACAUGGAUGAUAAUGAAGCAUAUAGAGGGGUUUUAUAAAAUUAUUUCCCAUGACAGAGUAUAAAUAUUACCCUGUAAGCUGGAAAUAUAUGAGGUGUUCAAGAAAAUAACCUAUCCCAUCUUUCUUGGGACGGCUACGGCUUUUGUUUCCACUUCAUCUGAGCAGUCACUUGAAACUUCUUUUUUAUUCUUUUUUGAGCAGAAGCACGGCUCCAUGAAUGCUGUCAGCGAGCUACUACUGGUUAAUAAUCUCGUCCUUUGUAUUGCAUGUCCUGCCAAAACAUAGUUCCAGUUUCUAUUAGGAUUCCCACAAGGACUGCAAUGUUUUUGGUACUAAAUGAAAUACCAAUACUGGUUUUUUCGAGGAAAAAAGAAGAAACUAGUCUAUAUUUAUCACGAUGUGAAAACCUAACCCGGUCAACAUGAACCUAAACCAGACCUAACCCCUAUUGACCAUAAAAGGCCGACAAGCCGAACAAAAAUGACAAAUCCAACCUGCCUAAUUGAUAGGUCUAGUUCCGGUGCUACUCAAACUCAGAAGCGAGUGCUAAAUGGGAGUCCGUGCCCAAAAGGGAUAUGCCAAAUAUUUUCAUGUUCCAUUGUGUAUUUUAAGGUGAAAUGAAGAGUUGGGAGUAACUAUACAAUUUUCCCUUCAGAGCAAACAAAUGAAAUUUAGGACGUAGUUUAAAGAAAAUUCUCUAGUGCCAUGUUCGGGAACAAGAUUUUGAAAUUUUGGAUUUGGAUUCGGU
Molecule: long non-coding RNA, 14534 nt
Filed under: Gossypium barbadense (sea-island cotton)
Lineage: Eukaryota; Viridiplantae; Streptophyta; Magnoliopsida; Malvales; Malvaceae
Description: long non-coding RNA (GBAR_LNC023415)
Source: RNAcentral